AGCCCUUUAUAUCCGUGUUGAGAUUUCGUCAGAUAUCAACCCGCUGGGGCUGAUGAUACUUCCCAAAUAAAUGAAGCA
Molecule: microRNA precursor, 78 nt
Filed under: Trichobilharzia regenti
Lineage: Eukaryota; Metazoa; Platyhelminthes; Trematoda; Strigeidida; Schistosomatidae
Description: mir-3492 microRNA precursor family
Rfam family: mir-3492 microRNA precursor family
Source: Rfam by way of RNAcentral